Molecule: long non-coding RNA, 5460 nt
Filed under: Sus scrofa (pig)
Lineage: Eukaryota; Metazoa; Chordata; Mammalia; Artiodactyla; Suidae
Description: lncRNA (ENSSSCG00015011931.1)
Source: RNAcentral
CAGGGGUUGAUGGAAUGCCAGCAGAGAGACCAGAUAGGAGAUUGUGGUGGUAAUUCGAACAAGUGAUCAUAAACAAUCUAACUCUCACCCUUAGUACUCCUGUUGACCUGAAGAAGAUGCAGACAUGAGGCAUACAAUCCACAAUAGAAGCCCACAGAUCCUUAAACUAUAUAUGGGCAUCAGGAAUUCAUAAGCCCCCGAAAGUGAAGACUGAUUUGGUUCAUGCAAUAUGUAUACUUCACUGGAAAGAUAGGUAUAACAUAUUCUCAAAGGGUGAAUCACCCCCUUCCCUCCAAUUUUUAACAUCUGCACCAAAAGCCUGAAGAAGUUGAGGCAGUUUCUCUAGUGCCUAACACCACACCUAGGGAAACCCCAUCUUCCUAGAUAAUUAGGUCAGGGCUUUACACAGAAGAGAAAUGAUUUUUUGAGACGUGUAUCUUUUGGCUAAAAUCAAUGUAGAUUUGUAACUCUACAGAAGCAGUGGUAAUUGUGACUCUCCCAGCAGAAUUUAAGCAACAAUUUAUAAAAGUUUAGAGAGAAAGUCUUUUGGUGGUAGAGGUGAAGAAACAUUGAAAAAUGGCACAUUUGAUUGACAGUCUUUGAUAUAAUCAGGACUUGCUGGGAUUUCUAAGACACAACAUAGCAGCAAAGUCCAGUUUAUCUUAACUCUUAACGUACAUUAUUGAGAUGUAAUCUACACUAGUAUAAUUUUUCCUUGUAAGGAACCAAAAUGCUAUGUGUUUCAGAAAACAGUACAAAUAGCUAGUAGUCUCAAAAUGACUCAGAUGAUUUAAUCUGGAAUAUUGUUGCAUAAAUGAUUCAUAAGAUAACUAGUAGGACUAUUUUAUAUCAAUAUCAAGAUUGUCUGAUCUUAAUCAGAAUCACCAGUGAAAUGUGUAUUUCACUGCUAUUGCUAUGUAGGUACUAAGUAUCCAGCUGCAUACUGGAAACUACAGACAUUUACAAAAAGAUGCCAACUGGAUGAUACAAAAUACAGCUUGGAGCAUAAAUGCUGCCUUCUAAAUGCAAUGUGCUUAUUGAUUACUUUCUAUAAAAUAAAUCCUCAGUUAUUGAGAAUUGGGACUCUGGUGUCUUAAACAUACUUUGUUCUCAUAUUUUGGAGAAAUAACGCCUAUUUAUGCUGAGAUUUUACUAUAAUUUUGAUUUACUUUUUGUUUAGUAAUUCAUGGAUAUAUACAUAUUUAUAUUUAUACACACAUAUUUAUCACAUAUACACAUAAAUAUGUAAAUUACAAAGCAAAAUUUAUAAUGAAUAGCCAAUCUAAGUACUGGGAUAUUGGCCAAGUUUUCAUCUACCUGUAUCUCCUUUCCUACUUCACCUGUUUUUCUCUCUUUAGAGCUAAUGACUAAGGUUACCUAUUUUGCCUAUUGUAUAAAUACAAUGUCUUGUAUUUAUUAUUCAUAUACUUUUUGAUAAAAUAGCUGUUUUAUAUAUAUCAUAUAUUUGAUAUAUAUUCUGAAAUAAUAAACUAUCUUGUUUUACUUAUUUUUAAGCUUAGAAAAUAAUAUUAAAUACAUGCAGUUUUCUGGGACUUUCUCUUUACUUACUCUUACGUUCAUUUAUUUCUCAUCAGUAUAUAAUAUUUCAUUGAGUGAAUAUUCUACAAUCUAUAUAUCCAUUCUUUUAUCAUUAGACACUACAAUUCUAAUGGUUCCAAUUUGAAAAUUGUGAAAAUGUCUUAACUGCAUUUUGCAAAUAAUUUUUUAUUCUCAUUUCCAUCAUCUAAAAUGACCGUGUCUAGGAGUUCCCGUCGUGGCGCAGCAGAAACGAAUCAGACUAGGAACUAUGAGGUUGAGGGUUCGAUCCCUGGCCUCUCUCAGUGGGUUAAAGAUCUGGCAUUUCUGUGAGUUGUGGUGUUGCAGACGCAGCUCAGAUCCUGCAUUGCCAUGGCUAUGGCGUAGGCUGGCAGCUGUAGCUCUGAUUCGACCCCCAGCCUGGGAACUUCCAUAUGCCAUGGGUACAGCCCUAAAAAGCAAUAAAAUAAAAUGACCGUGUCUAGACUGAAUCUACUUCUCUGUAGGUAUAGAUAGUAAGACUGUUUCAGAACUGAUCCUAACUUUUGACUAUUAUUUUUUCUUCCUGGAAAUAUUUCUCCUAUCAGCUGACUCUCUGGCUAGUCACUUAUUCCCUUGUUUACACAGUAAAGAAAGACAAGCCGUAGGACACUUUUGGUGGUAUAUAGGGCCACCUUCCUAGACAAAAAUGUAUUAAAUGAAAGGCCAAAGCGUCUUUGUUUCAGGAGAUGUUUUUGUGAUCUGGAAAAAAAAUCCUUUUUUAUUGGUUGGACUGGCAACAGUCUUUUUUCACCAGCACAAAAAUAUAUUUUUUGUCUAUAAAUCUACAGAGCACAGGCAGGGCCUUCAGCUCCCUGUUUUGUCUCCUUUGCUUGGAGAUUGUGGAUAGGAUGUGAAAGGAGAUUGCCCUUCAGUACAGCAGGUAUUUUUUGUGAGAGUGUUUUGGAAAAAGUGUUUAUCCUGAGCUCAUAUAAUCUAAUCAUCACCAGCAGUCACAACUCCAACAUCAUCACUGUUACUACCUUUGUCAGAAUUAUCUGUAAACAUGAGACCUGGUAGUUUUUCUAUGCUUUAACAUCCAAUGUUAAAAAGAACUCUAGAUAUUAAGUAACACUCAAGUUUGAAUCUUGAGUGUUUGUAUUUUGAAGUAUUUUUUAUAAAAAUGUUGGAUACUUUGAAUAAUACCUUGAUCCGCUGAUAACUAUAAAGAGAUGAUAUCUUCAAACAUAAAAAUGCAGGAGUUCCCUUGUAGUGCAAAGGGUUAAAGAUCUGGUGUUGCCACUGCAGCGCCUUGGGUUGCUGCUGUGGUGCAGGUUCGAUCUCUAGCCUGAGAACUUCCACAUGUGGUGGGAGUGGCCAAAAAAACCCACAUCAAAAUGUAAAAAAAAAAUAACUAACUUCGCUUCCUUAUUAUAAGCAUUAUAAUCAGUAACAUGACAAAUCUUUUCAAGUGAAUUCAGGGUAAUCACAUUUCAAAAAAAUUGAGCAAAUCUGAAAAAAAUAGGUAUUUGUCCAUCUGUGAAUAUACUCUAUAAGCAGAAAUCAUUACAUUAUGAUCACAUAUUCCAGGUACUUAAAUUUUUUUUUGCUGAUAUAUCAGCACGUGAUUAAAAAAUACAUACACCUUAGAGUUCCCAUUGUGGCUCAGUGGUUAAUGAAUCCGACUAGGAACCAUGAGAUUGCGGGUUUGAUCCCUGGCCUUGCUCAGUGGGUUAAGGAUCUGGCGUUGCCAUGAGCUGUGGUGUAGGUUGCAGACACGGCUCAGAUUCAGCAUUGCUAUGGCUCUGGAGUAGGCCAGCAGCUAUAGCUCCGAUUAGACCCCUAGCCUGGGGACAUCCAUAUGCCAUGGGAGCAGCCCUAGAAACGAUAAAAAGAUAACAACAACAACAACAAAAAUACAUACACCUACAUACUCACUGCAUUCUAUUAUUUGCUUAAACCAAGGGGCAGUAUGGUUAACUGGCCACCACAAGAAUAGCAUUUGACAAGACUGCAAAAAAGAUCCUGACAUAGUGCUGGGAAACUGUUCCAGGAUAGAAUGGGCUCAAAGAUAUAUAUUCUGAAAUGCUUACAACACUUUACUUCAGUGUAGCUGCUAAAUAUUUCUGAAUGUUUAUUUCAUUUCCAUUUUUAGUGCUAUAUCUUUUGCUAACAUAUACAAACUAAAAUUCUGAAAUUACAACAUUUCAGCCACCUACAAUUUCCAAUAAAUUUAUUUUGCUUAUUCAUAGGGCAUUGUUGCCUAUAUUGGAAGUGCUGGCAUGUGCUUUCAUGGGAAAAUACAGUGCUAUUCCCACAAUAUUCUCCAUAGGGAAAAUACCAGCCAGCAGGCAUACUACUCCUUGUCUGUUUCCCAUUAUCUAAUAUACAAUACACCCAUACCUACAAUUUUAUUAUUUCCUCUCUCUAGUUACUAUGGACAAAGAACCCCUCCUCCUUCCAAAGGUGCAACUCUUCAAAUUUUCUGAAUCUUAACCCCCUCCCCUUUCUGAGAGACAUUUCCAUCAGUUAUUACAUAAACACACACACACUAAUACACACAUACAAUCUUCUAAAUUUUCACUUACUCUCUUUUUGCUAUACCCUUGCCAUCAACAUUUAAAUAAACUGCCAAACAGGGUGAGCAAACACAAACCCUUGAUACUAUGAUGCCAUGCCCUCGAGCUACAGUCUUACCUCUUUACUGUCUUUCACAGAAAGCCCAUGCUGUCCCUCCCUCUCUCCCUCCACAUUAUCAUUACUGUUCUUUAUUAUUUUAAAUUUGAAUUAUGAAUGAAUUUUCUCCCUUCCUUCUUUUCUUUGUCCCUCUUCAACUAUACCUACCACCCUACCACCGUAUCAUCCACAUGUUUCUUGCUAAAUUCAUUAGUGACCAACAUGUUGCCAAAUUCAAGAAAUGCUUUUCAACCCUAAUCUUAUUUUGCAGCAGCUUUCAGCACAGUUGCUUUUGCCUUUCUUCUUGCAACAUUUCCUUCUCUUGGCUUCCAUGAUCCCAGUUCUCAUGAUUUUCUUUCCAGCCUUCUGUCUGCACCUCAGUUUCUUUUGUAGCCUCCUUUGUAUCUUCCUGAUUUAUAAAUGUUGGAGUGCCUCAGACUCAAUUCAGGUCCCCUUUCCUUGCCUUUUUAUAUUGUCUUAUCAGGUUAUCUCACUCACUGUUCUGGUUUCAGAGACCACAUGCAAGCCAAGGCAUUAUGUCUUCCUCUUCAGCUCCCUGCUAAGCUCUAGAUCCAAACUUUCAGAUGUUAUGUGCACAUUUUCAUUGGAAUCCAGGGACUCAGCUGUAGAUUACACAUAAAACCCCUUUAAUAUUCACCUCCACCAGCAACCACAUGAACUACUUGUGGUUCUGUGCUCAGAACUCUUUGGAUAAUUGAAGUUGUCCACUACAGGUGGAUGGCUAGAAGCCCUGUGUAUUUCUGAGAGUAAAUAGCAAUGAAUAAUUAUAAAGAAUAAAGGGAGACAUGCAACUCUAACAUAGCCCUUCUUCCUUUUCAUAAUAUUCAGCUAUGAUGAUGAUGGAAGUUUUUAUAGUUAACGGACCAACCAAUAACAAUACCUCUCUGGUAUGUUCAUACUUUUUCUAAUUAGCAGAGGUUGCUCUCUAAGAAGUCUUCUGAUUAUUUUUUUAUUUUUUUAUUAAAGUAUAGUUGAUUUAGGAGGAGUUCCCGUCAUGGCAUAGUGGUUAAAACGAAUCCAACUAGGAACCAUGAGGUUCGGGUUCAAUCCCUGGCCUUGCUCAGUGGGCUAAGGAUCUGGCAUUGCCGUGAGCUGUGGUGUAGGUCACAGACACGGCUCAGAUCCUGCAUUGCUGUGGCUGGGGCAUAGGCCUUUGGCUACUGCUCCGAUUAGACCCCUAGCCUGGGAACCUCCAUGUGCCACAGGAAGCAGCCCUAGGAAAAGCAAACAGCCAAAAAAAAAAAAAAA